CGGGGUGCACCAGGCGCGAAAACUUUGCAAUGCGGGAAACCGUGACAAGGGAACUCUGAGUGCCCGUUAAAUCGGGCUGUCCAUCGGUUUAAAUAACCGGUGAAGAAAGGGCCGGGCAAGACCGGUGCCAGCCGCCGCGGUAAUACCGGCGGCUCGAGUGGUGGCCACUAUUACUGGGCUUAAAGCGUUCGUAGCUGGUUUGUUAAGUCUCUGGGGAAAUCUUCCGGCUUAACCGGAAGGCGUCUCAGGGAUACUGGCAGACUAGGGACCGGGAGAGGUGAGAGGUACUCCAGGGGUAGGAGUGAAAUCCUGUAAUCCUUGGGGGACCACCUGUGGCGAAGGCGUCUCACCAGAACGGCUCCGACAGUGAGGGACGAAAGCUGGGGGAGCAAACCGGAUUAGAUACCCGGGUAGUCCCAGCUGUAAACGAUGUGCGUUAGGUGUAUCGGUGACCACGAGUCACCGAGGUGCCGAAGAGAAAUCGUGAAACGUACCGCCUGGGAAGUACGGUCGCAAGGCUGAAACUUAAAGGAAUUGGCGGGGGAGCACAAGGGCGAUUCGC
RNAcentral lists this ribosomal RNA (562 nucleotides) under uncultured archaeon. RNAcentral's name for it is "bacterial SSU rRNA". It matches the Rfam family "Archaeal small subunit ribosomal RNA", at positions 326 to 894 of the family's 1478-position model. The record is from RNAcentral.